Molecule: long non-coding RNA, 6496 nt
Organism: Oncorhynchus tshawytscha (Chinook salmon)
Lineage: Eukaryota; Metazoa; Chordata; Actinopteri; Salmoniformes; Salmonidae
Exons: 2
Source: RefSeq, a predicted model, not a curated record
CGAAAUCAACAGCAACCACAAUAGGAAUAGUACAUGUAAUACCGAAGAAAUUAUACACAUAUAACAAACAAAACAAAUCAAUAUCCAAUACAGAAAUGCAAUAAUGGUCAACGUUGAGAAUGUAAUUCAACAAACAAAAAUGACUGGUUGUACUGAUGUUGUGUAUGACCUUAAAUACAGUAUAUGGAUAAAAUAGGACAUAGCACAGAGACUGGAUUUGGAUUAAUAACUUUAAAUGUUAUUGAUCAUUAGUUUAUAAUAGAGACUUGAGGGGUGCCAUUGCCAAGAGACUACACUAGAGGUUAAUGGUUAUCUAUUGGGCAAGGUAUAUGGUGGGUGCAAUUAAGCUUGGAAUGUACUGAGUGUCGGGACAACAAUCACAUGUGGCAGGCAAGGGGAGAGAGCUAUGGAUUAGUUAUGAAGGGGACGAGGUCAGUGUCCGUCGAGUUCUUACUCUAAUAAUUAGAACCUAACAGUUGGCACUGCGAGCAGGGUUCACCACGAUUUAUAGUCAAACCAGAGAGUCCAGAUCAAUGGAGCAGGAGCUGGCAACAAACAAGGUAGGCACAGUUCCUUUACCUGUUUCCACUCAUUUUGACAUCUUGGGGAGAUGAGAUUCGUCGGCUGAGCAAUUAGAGGAUGCGGACCUAGAAAGCCUGAGUUUAUUCAGUAGGACCAUUGAGUAAUGACCGGUCAUAGCUUUAAAGAGAGUAAGUCCCGAGCAGGAUAGUUUCCUGUAGAGGGUAAGACUCAUAGAUAGAGAGUAAGUUCCGAGCAAGUGGUCCUGUGGAGGGUAAAACUUUAGUGUAUCGGUUUAUCAGCCAGACCCGUAAAGGAGGCUGAAGGUCUCAGCCGCAGUGGCCGUGCGGCAGUAGAGUGUGUGUGGAUGGAUAAAGUCACCUGCUUGUGUACUAGGAAAAAAGGUUGCCAUUCAGGGUGAGAAGAAAAGCAAUACGUUAUUUGAACGCUGUUGGAUUUGGGUAUAUUAGCAGUAGCAAUAAAGAGGGGUUGGUUUUAUGCCCUGUUGGGGUGAGGAAACAUGGCAGAUUGUGGAAAUAGGAAGAGGAGUGUGAAUCAUUUGGUGAUGUGUGUUAUCAACAACAGUGAUAUUUGAGGCGCAACACUGGAAUAAGACCUUAGGUCAUGCGUAUUCUCCAGUAAUACAUUUGCAGACGCUAUAAUAUUGGUUCUAAUGCAAGGUAUUAAGUGCCGUGACAAAUUAAUAGGCACAAAUACCGUAACUAUUCUCAGGGGAAGUUGGUAGCGCUACCUUGGAAAAUAGUUAAUAGAAGGGGUGCAUUAGAGACAGGACUGAAGAAAUCUUGACACCCUGGACACCAUUGGGAGAGGAUUGGGAAUAAAAGCUAUUGAGCGAGAGAAUUUGAAUAACGCAACGGAGACGCUGAAAGUAGCACAUGAGCAUUCUAACAAUUCGGCUCGAAUACGGGAAACGUUUAGCAAACUGGAUAAAAUUGGGCAACAUUUCCCUGCUGAUGGAGAUUUCAAAACAAAUAAAGAAUUCAAGGAGGCAAUUAUGACCGGGCACAAUGAAAUCAAUGAGAAAUCGCAAGGUCUACACACAAGUGUUUUGAUGUCGGCGUUUUAUCAACAGAAGAGCAUAACCGAUAAAAAUGGAAUUAGUAGAUGUACUCAGCAACAGAAAGACUGGGUAAGGGAGUACAUUGAUAUAAUUGGUGCUCUCGGUUUUGAUGGCAGGUUUGAAACCCGUGAUAAAAACGGCAAUUGCAGGGGUAGUGGAUGAAAUAGAGCAAGAUGCUUUGAGAGUAGGAAACAGCUCCACUCCCUUCACAGACGUGCGAGGGGUUAAUACAGCCAGAGUGAAAGUCACUAACUGUGGUUUCAAUGGCCAAGGUAAGACAAAGAAACGUAGCGAAAAAAACACCGACGCUUAGGGAGAUAAGGGUCCUUUGAAAUCUGGGUAAGCAAGCACAGGUGGAUUAGUCAACACACUCACCAAGUGUUCUAAUGCUAUCUGGUGAGCAUCCUCCCAUAUAACUUUCUGGUGGGGCGGCUGCAUAGCUACCAUGGUCCUUCGCUUCCCGGAUGCUGGGGUCUCCGACUUCACUGCUAGUAAGUCAUAGAGACAUUUUGCAUGCUGUGAGAAGUUCUGUACAUAACUGUAGUACCCUAGAAACCCCAGUAGUUUCCCCAGCUCUCUCAUGUUUGUUGGUGGCCUGUUUACCAGUUCUCGCACUACUACAAUUUCUUUAACAACCAUUCUGUAAUCUUCAGAACAAAUCAUUUUUCCUAAAUAACAGACUAGGUCACACUCAUCAGCCCUGAGUUUAAUACCACAUUUAUUUUGCUGCCUGACUAGCUGACGGACAUCUUCCACAUGUUAUCCAAAUAACUGACUAAAAAUAAGCACAUCAUCCAAAUAUGUUAUACAGAUUCGAUCUCUUAUACCCUCUAAACUUUCCUCCAUGCUUUGUUGCAAGGCAGAGGGGCUGUUUGAUAAGUCAAACGUUAUUCUGUUCCAUUCAUGUAAGGCCCAAGGAGGGUUGAAAACAGUGUCUUUUCUGGACUCCUCUCCCACAAAGCCUUGGUGGUUUGCCUUUCAUCUAAAACUGUAAACCAUGAGUUUCCUCCCAAACCAUCAAGUAUUUCCUGUAUUCAGGGUUUGGGUUGCCUUUCCAGAACAUUCUUCUUGUUCAAUCCCCUGUAAUCAACACAGUCUUAAACACCCAUCCUUUUUCAAUACACAGACCAGAGGUGAUGACUUCCUGAUUAAGUUUUUAUUCAGGAGCCCCUGAAGGUGGCUUUUCACCUCAGCAUACAAGGGUUGUUGCACACCAUUGUAUCUCUUUGCCACUGGUAUGUUAUCAGUUAAUGUUAUCUCCAAUUGUAGAUUUUCAGUGCACCCUAUGUCCAUGUCAUCUUUGGCAAAAAUGGCUGAUUCCUCUGUGAGCAUCUAUUUGACUAAUGCUUGUUGUUCUUGGCUCAAGUGCUGUACACUCACUGUGACCGGUGUCAGGGCCAGGCUCCGGUGAGGAUCUGUCAUGAACGUGUGCUACAGUAACCUUUUCUUCACUAGGCACAGGAACCGGUUGACACGCUACCACUCUCUGUAAUGCCACUAUCACUGUUUGUCUUGGUAAGGUUAUGUCAUAUUUGGUAGUAUUCACUAUUGCAAUGUCAACUUUUUGAGAUGGGUGUUUGAUUUUUUCACUACUUGACUUUGUAGGUCCAAACCACAGAUAACUCUCCCGUCCGGUUCAAAUAACACAGUUUCAUAAUUGAAGGGGGCCUCUCUUGGGAUACAAGGAUGAAUCCACUUUCCUUUUUUCCCAUGGGCUUCACCCUAGUGGCUGAAAUAUAACUGUAUUAAGCUCCUGGGGUGGAAAUUCUAACCAAGUGAGAGAGACUUUGUCAUUUCUUCAAACAAUUAUCUUUAUUCAAUAUGAAUUAAUUAUUACAAUAAUGAGACUGGUCAACCCAAAAGUUUUGACUGUUGGGCCAAGAGCCUAACCUUUACCUACAAUGCAGAGUUUUUAUAUAGCUGACACUAAAAUUAUACUCCCAAAUAAAAAAAUUGUCUACAUCAAUUAUGGGCACAGGUAACCCCCCUCCCCCUCCAGGCACUGAUUCUUCUGCUGUCUUCUUCAUUGUCUACUUCAGAUAGUUUUACAGUUCAAAGUGGAUGGCCCAUGAUAAUGUCCCAAUUUCAAUGUCUCAUCUGAGACGCUAUCACCUUUACCACACCAUUAUGUCUUGUCCAUUUGUCAACCAGUAUACCAGCAACAUAAGAGAAGUUUGGAACAGAUUUCUCCCCGUGCUCACUCCACAUGGACUCCUGUCACACUCCUGAGAGAAAAGCAGUUGAUAGCUCUGAUUGGACGCUGGCGUACAUGUGGCUGACUCAGGUCUCUCGGUAGAAGUGGUGCAGGCAGGGCCGUAUUCAACGCCUUUGUUGCUCUUCAGCCAGUUAGAGGGGGGUUUUGAGGUACAUACACUGUUCGGUCCAAUUAUCACUUUCAUGCAUUGAGACACCGACUGACGUCACCUGUCACGGUAACCUCAAGAAAGAACAGAUCAGAACAACAGUCCAGUUCAUUUUCAUUCAGGAAAUCCAGACAAGCAUUUUUACCAAUUAUUAAUAAUCGCAAUGUCUAAACAUGUGUCAAAGAGAAUUACAACACAUUCUAUUGAAACUGUUUUUUCAAAUGGGCUCAUACUCCCCAUCACACUGUCAACUUCAUCGCGGAGCUACAGGAUCAGGAUGUUAGACCUAUAACCCAUCGGGAGAAAUCCCAACAAUCCAGCAGACCUAAUCUGGUGAGGUUUGUAUCAAAACAGAACAGAACAAACAACACAAAAAUACUCUCCUACACAUCACUCAAGGCGUGUAAACUUCAAUCUAAAACCCCUUCGGACUGUUACCUCCCCCAUUUUGACACAUAACUCCCCAUGUGAGUAAUGUGUAAAAACAACACUACUACUGGUCAAAAAAGAAAACAAAAUCAUUUCAAAUAAGUAAAUCGAAUUAGAAUCACUACCCUUAAUAACUCCAUAAAUAAAAAUAAUUGUACCCAUGCGGUCAUAGGAAAAUAGACUUAAGACAGCCUACACUUAGUCAAAGGCAACACCCUCUCCUUCUUCACAUAGGUCCAAAUCCCAAAUAUGGCUAAGAACUAUAAACUUUAUCAUAAUUAUCAAUAUUACAAAUGACCUUCAAAUCAGUAUUACAAAUGAACUUAAAUUCGUUAUCCAAAGGGCUUUCCAGUGAGGGUGAUCAAACCACACUGGAAAGUCAGGACAGAGGUCUGAGGUCUGAGGUCAUACAAAUCCUUCAAAGAAGUGUUUCUUACUAUAUUAGACAAAUUAAUUUAAAAAAUAUAAACCUGUUGUUUAACAAAUCUAGAACCUUCAAAAAGUUGGUGCUGUCUCAUCAGCGUAAUAGUCAAAACUCUCGCCCACUCUUAGCUAUGAUGUGGGCGUGCCCCAAGUUAAUAAUGUUCAGCCUGUACUUUAGGGAUUUACCUUCUGUCUGUAAGUUCAAAUGUAUGCAGAUGAUACAGUGAUAUAUGUGCAUGCAAAGAGCAAACAACAAGCUGUACAAGAAUUCACUGCUGUAAUGGUCCAGGUUACAAAGUGGCUCAGUGACUCAUGUUUGCAUCUCAAUGUGAGAAAAAAAACAGUCUGCAUGUUCCUCACAAAGAGGGCAAAUGAUGCCACUGAGAGAGAUGUCUAUGUGUCGGGGGAGAAGCUACAGGUGGUAAUUGAUUUGAAGUACCUUGGCAUCAUACUUGAUUCCAACCUCUCUUUUAAAAAGCAGGUGAAAAAGAUAACUCAAAUAACCAAAUUCAACCUAGUUAAUUUGCGAUAUACUCUACCAUUCAAAAGUUUGGGGUCACUUAGAAAUGUCCUUGUUUUUGAAAGAAAAGCACAAUGUUUGUGUUUUUCUUUGGAUUAGCUAACACAAUGGGUCAUUGGAACACAGGAGUGAUGGUUGCUGAUAAUUGAUAUUCCAUAACAAUAAUCAGCCGUUUUCAGCUACAAUAGUCAUUUACAACAUUAACAAUGUCUACACUGUAAUUCUGAUCAAUCUUAUGUUAUUUAAAUGGACAAAAAAAUGUGCUUUUCUUUCAAAAACAAUGACAUUUCUAAGUGAUCCCAAACUUUUGAGCGGUAGUGUAUAUGAAAUUGUUUGACUACAGAGGUAGCAAAAUAUUACACCUAUGAUACUCCCCAACUUAACAUACUGGUUGACUAGUUGGCCCCAAGCUUGCUGUACAACAUUAAAACCCAUUCAGUCUGUCUGCAAACAGGCUCUCAAAUUGCUUGAUUGGAAGUCCAAUAGCCAUCAUCACUGUUACAUCCUCAGAAAGCAUGAGCUCCUGAGUUGAAAAAAUAUUGUGCAAUACACUGACGCAUGUCUUAUAUUCAAGAUCCUAAAUGGCCUAGAUCCUAAACUUAUGGCUGUCACAUCUGUUCCUGCCACACCCUCUACUGCUUAUCCUGUGUCUCCUUGACCUGCCGCCACUCCCCCAGUACUCCCCCCCCCUCUCUCUCUGUGUGGGUGGAGACAGAUGUGCUGGAGUCAGAGAAGAUCCCCACCAGCUGCAACCUGUUCCAUAAUCAAGACCUCUACAAAUACUCAACCCUGCCACUUCCACGCUGCCAGAUCGUAAUCUCUGCUGAGUCACUAUAUGCUUCUAACCAUUUGUUACUGUUAGAUCCUGUUAUCCUUUUGUGCCUGUUUUCCUUGCCUGACGCUGUUUUCCUCUCCGCUACAGUUCUGCCCGCUCGGACUCUGGUCCCUGUCUCCAGUUCCACGUCUCGUCAUCCUGCUACUCUGUCCUGGAUUCCCCAUUCUACUGCUCCCUUGGAUUCCAAUCCGGACCUGCUUACCCUGUCCCAACCCAUCUCGCUCCAGCCUCAGCCUCUGCACCUGGUUCCCUGCAACCCACCCAAGCUUCCCCUGGCCUGCACUCCAUCUUCCCCUUGUGUUUCAAUAAAUACCUUGGUUACUUCA